Molecule: unclassified non-coding RNA, 865 nt
Filed under: Hevea brasiliensis (rubber tree)
Lineage: Eukaryota; Viridiplantae; Streptophyta; Magnoliopsida; Malpighiales; Euphorbiaceae
Source: RNAcentral
GGGAGGUCGUCUCCCCUCUUUGAUCAGUGGGUUUUCCUUCCUACUGGCGGAUAAGGGUAUAAAUGGUUCUGAUGAUUAGAGCAACAAGUGAUGAAUGAAGAAGGUUUCUAUAGGCUGCCCUUGUGAAGUGGUUCUGUGAUUUUCUUUUGCUUCUUGUUGCGAUUUUUUUAGCCUUUUUCUUGGUGUUGUUGUUGCAGAUCUUCUGGCACAAAAUGAAAGAUCUUAGCAAAUUUGCUCCGGCUUGAGUAGCUUAAUAGUUUUGUUGCAUGUGGUUCCUUGUUGUUAUGGUUGUUGAAGUUUGACUUUUGAAGCUACAUGUGUCAGAGAAUGCUUAGUUUUUCUCUGAUCUAGCAUGGAACCGGUCGUCUGGUGGGCAGCUCAUAGGGUGCGAUUUGGUAGAUCAGCCUGGAAGGUGCAAAUGGGACACUAAAGAGACCCAUCGCCGACGUUCUAUGCUUGCUGUGGUGUCGAUGCAUAACUUCAAUGAUGCCUAACCUCUUAGCCUGGGGUUCAACAGCUCUCUAAAUCCAUGAAGCUACAUGAGAAGACUUUGCCAGCAGGCUCCUUUGAUCUUUAGUAUUUUUUCUAAGUCUUUAAUGGCAUCAGUAAUUAGGGAGAUAAGUUGUUUUCUUCGCUAAUCAUGGCUAUGGGCAUCUUCUCAAGCAACAAAUAGUGGAAGGUUCAGCUACAUUUUGGUAUAUUUUUUCAUAUUUUUUGGGUCAAAUUUGUAAGGUAGUUCACCCAAUUGGAGUGUGGGAUUCUGGCCAUAUGGGACCUAAAUUUAGUGGGCUUCAUUGAAAAUUUUUAAUUAUGAACUCUCCUGUAGCUGGGCUCUAGGCCUUUUAAAUUAAUGAAUCAAUGUUCC